UGGGGAAUAUUGCACAAUGGGCGCAAGCCUGAUGCAGCCAUGCCGCGUGUAUGAAGAAGGCCUUCGGGUUGUAAAGUACUUUCAGUCGGGAGGAAGGUGUCAAGGUUAAUAACCUUGGCAAUUGACGUUACCGACAGAAGAAGCACCGGCUAACUCCGUGCCAGCAGCCGCGGUAAUACGGAGGGUGCAAGCGUUAAUCGGAAUUACUGGGCGUAAAGCGCACGCAGGCGGUUGAUUGAGUCAGAUGUGAAAUCCCCGGGCUUAACCCGGGAAUUGCAUCUGAUACUGGUCAGCUAGAGUCUUGUAGAGGGGGGUAGAAUUCCAUGUGUAGCGGUGAGAGGCGUAGAGAUGUGGAGGAAUACCGGUGGCGAAGGCGGCCCCCUGGACAAAGACUGACGCUCAGGUGCGAAAGCGUGGGGAGCAAACAGG
RNAcentral lists this ribosomal RNA (429 nucleotides) under Chloroflexota bacterium. RNAcentral describes it as "Chloroflexi bacterium partial 16S ribosomal RNA". It matches the Rfam family "Bacterial small subunit ribosomal RNA", at positions 355 to 776 of the family's 1533-position model. Lineage: Bacteria; Bacillati; Chloroflexota. The record is from RNAcentral.